RNAcentral lists this long non-coding RNA (1185 nucleotides) under Coturnix japonica (Japanese quail). RNAcentral's name for it is "lncRNA (ENSCJPG00005000683.1)". Lineage: Eukaryota; Metazoa; Chordata; Aves; Galliformes; Phasianidae. The record is from RNAcentral.
GUGUUAUAAUGCAUCAGCUAAACUCACAUGUUCGCAGGCAAGGUUAUUUCAUUUAGGAUGUUUUUUUAGUCAUAUGGAAAUGUUUCUGGACUAAUACUUCUUAGUUUUCCAUUUUUAUUUUUUUUUCUUUCCCCCUAGCAGUUGCAUUACAGGAGCAAUAACAGAAGCAGAAACUUGUUGAAGCAAUUUUCCUGUUUCAUUAGAUUGCUCAUGAGGAUCACCACAGGGAGAACUUCAGUGUCCCAGAUGGGAUUAAGCUGGUUGAUCAGAAGUUUGGCUAAUGACUGGAAACAAACCCAAUGCAUCUUUACAAGUACAAAACAAGACACUGGAUUUUUCACAGUUGCUUCCUGAGUGCACCUAGCUUCAGAUACUUUCUGAAAACAGUGAUGUUUGUUCAGAAUGCUUCAACAGCUGAAGAACAUUACAGUAUUAAUUUAUGACCCAGCAACUAGGAUUUCUUUUGGACUGUGUUAUUAUAAAGUAGUAUGAGGAUACGUGGGAUAUUGUUCUCACAUCUGGUGUGAGUCAGCCUACAUGGUGCUUUAAUUCUGAGAGAAUAUCUCUAGAUCAAACGAGCUCUGAACUGAAGACAUGCAAGAAGCUAUUGCAACCCUGGGGUCUCAAAUGAAAAAGAAAGCUUAAUUUCUGGUGAAGUACCAAAGCCUCGAAUCUCAAGAGAGCUCUUCUGUGUCAAGCUACUAUAUGGGUUACGGCUGUGAAUGAGGAGAGUUAGCUCUAUUACUUGACCACCUAUAUCAAAGUGAGGUAAUUCUUUUAGCAGUGAGAUUUGACAACAAUUGAAAUUAUAAAUUGUAGCAUUCUGAAACUGUAAAAUACCCUUGUGCUCCUGCCUUGAGACUUCAAGGACAAAUUGCCCACAAUUAGUAUUUGGUCUUAUCUUUAAAAAUUUCAUGUACUUUAUCGAUGGAAUGUUUUAGCUGUAUGUGAUCACCAAAGAGAAAGAAGGAAAAAGGGUAAUUAAACCGAAUUAAAGAUGUUCUUGUUUUCCAGGAAAUUGGGGUAAUAUUUCAGGUUUUGUAUUAUUUUUUUUUUUCCUAGGGUAAACAUACAUUUCUAUUCUCUCUCAGGGAGUGGUCAGGCACUGGGAUAGCCUGUCCAGGGAGGUGGUGGAGUUGACAUCCCUGGCAGUGUUUAAGAGGCAUCUGGAUGAGAAGCUAUGAG